ACGCAUUAAACCAGACAAUAACCUCUUUAGAAAAAACUCCAUCGUUCACCUAGAAUCACCGACGCUGUUGAAACUACGAAAUACACCACCAAUUAGUUAGAAACUUAAGAAAAUAGAUCGAAUUGUGAGAUCAUGGACAUAAGUAGGUAGACGAAAAUUAACUCUAGAGAGCAGAAUGAUUUGGUGACGUAGUAAGAUGAGGUACCGAAUAGGGAAAGUCGAGGAGAAAAUAAGGGUUUACCAGUAUGGUUGUCGGCACGAUGAGUUGGGGUUCUUAGUGAAGGCAGACGAGAAGGGUUUGAGGCGGCGGUGUAGUAGUAAAGUCUCUGGUUGCUACACUGGAGAAGAC
RNAcentral lists this long non-coding RNA (349 nucleotides) under Lactuca sativa (garden lettuce). RNAcentral's name for it is "long non-coding RNA (LSAT_LNC004648)". Lineage: Eukaryota; Viridiplantae; Streptophyta; Magnoliopsida; Asterales; Asteraceae. The record is from RNAcentral.